UUUCACGAGCUAUAAGUAUUAGCAACUAAUACAAUUAAUUCAUCAUUUUUAGAGGAUUUUCAGGGCUUGUGGGAAAGCUUGCUCUUUGACUCGGAUGUGAAAAAUCAGUUGCUAAAAUAUGCGGCAACGACACUUCUCUUCUCCGACAGAGGCGUGGAUUUCAACAUCAUCUCGUGAAAUAAAGUUAUCUUAUUGCAUGGUAAGUUAGUUUCCUUGGUAACCAGACGUGAGUCCUUGCGUCAUCGUCCGUCA
Molecule: long non-coding RNA, 252 nt
Organism: Xenia sp. Carnegie-2017
Lineage: Eukaryota; Metazoa; Cnidaria; Anthozoa; Malacalcyonacea; Xeniidae
Exons: 3
Source: RefSeq, a predicted model, not a curated record